Long non-coding RNA from Ipomoea nil (Japanese morning glory), 103 nucleotides. RefSeq lists it as uncharacterized. The record is from RefSeq and is a predicted model, not a curated record. Lineage: Eukaryota; Viridiplantae; Streptophyta; Magnoliopsida; Solanales; Convolvulaceae. The transcript has 3 exons.
UUCUUGUGAUUGACAAAUAGGAGGGAGGUGAUGAGGAAGAGUUUGAUAAGUCCAAGUCUGAAGUGAAUGAUGAUGAGGAAGACGGCAGAUCAGAAGAUCACAC